Camelus ferus (Wild Bactrian camel) is the source of this 72-nucleotide transfer RNA. It matches the Rfam family "tRNA". From Rfam's summary of the family: Transfer RNA (tRNA) molecules are approximately 80 nucleotides in length. The record is from Rfam. Lineage: Eukaryota; Metazoa; Chordata; Mammalia; Artiodactyla; Camelidae.
GAGGGUAUAGCUUAGUGGUAGAGUGUAUGCUUAGUAUACAUGAAGUCCUGGGCUCAAUCCCCAGGACCUCCA